This 90-nucleotide transfer RNA is filed under the name Melampsora larici-populina 98AG31. Its description in RNAcentral is "tRNA-Thr for anticodon CGU". It matches the Rfam family "tRNA". Rfam says of the family: Transfer RNA (tRNA) molecules are approximately 80 nucleotides in length. Their secondary structure includes four short double-helical elements and three loops (D, anti-codon, and T loops). Lineage: Eukaryota; Fungi; Basidiomycota; Pucciniomycetes; Pucciniales; Melampsoraceae. The record is from Rfam by way of RNAcentral.
GCCCCUUUAGCUCAGUGGUAGAGCGUUCCACUCGUAUGUUGUGUCAUAAUUGAAAUGGAAAGGUCUGGUGUUCAAUCCACCAAAAGGGCA